RNAcentral lists this ribosomal RNA (330 nucleotides) under Triticum aestivum (bread wheat). RNAcentral describes it as "partial small subunit ribosomal RNA". The record is from RNAcentral. Lineage: Eukaryota; Viridiplantae; Streptophyta; Magnoliopsida; Poales; Poaceae.
AUGUCUGCCGAUUGGAGUGACGAUAACACUACAAUCUUGACCGAGCUCUUUAUCCAACAAGUGUGUGCUGGAAAUAGGCCAGACAAGGACUUGACUCAAAAUGCUUAUGAGGAAGUUGCGAAGGAUUUGAAAGUCCGAAUAGGUCUGGAGUACACCAGGCUCCAACUGAAGAACAAGUGGGAUAAGUUGAAGACUGAUUACAGCAAUUUCAGAAAACUCAAAUUGAAGGAGACUUGUGGUGGGUGGUACUAUAAGGGAAACACCAUCAAACAAGAUUCUGAAUGGUGGAAGAAAGCAAAGAUAGACAUCCCUGGCUGUGGCAUGUUCUGA